CACAAGUGUUUCUGAGGCCUAGCUGCCUGCUGCCUGCUGUGAAACCCUAUAAACCCUGCCCCGUGGGAAUUGAGCAGAAAGGACAGGGACCUCCUCCUCUCUGGAAGUCUCUGAAGAUGAUGGUGGACAAAGGUGAGGUUGUCAGCUGGCUCAGGAACCAGCGCACAUCCGAGUACCACCUUCCAAUGGUGAUGCUGAUGAUUCUGACCCAAGAAUGAUAUGCUGAGAACCACAAGUCAGAACAACCAGACUUGGCCCUUGCCAAACAUGGUGGUGCACACCUAUAAUCUCAGCACUUGGGAGGCUGAGGCCAGAAGAUUGCUGUGAGUUCGAGGUCAGCCUGGGCUACAUAGUGAGUUCAAGGCCAGCUUGAACUACAGAGUGAGACCCUGUGUAACAACAACAACAACAACAACAACAACAACAACAACAACAAAAAGACCUGGCUCUUAUAGUUUCCCUGUUUCUGCCCCAGCCUGGAUUGAAAAGUGUUUUUUUCCAAGCCUCAAGACUCACUCAGUCAAAUGAACUUGUUCACCUGAAACAAACCCCAGAGGCCAAGUGUGGCCCAAGGAAGUGACCAAGCACUGUUCACAGAAUUAUCCUUGGGUGUAAAGAAGAAAUUAGGUGCUAUGAUAAAUAUUUCUGAGAAAAGAAUAUAUUCACAUAUGUAUAUCAUUAGAGUCUAUAGAAAAAGUCAACAAUUAUGGAUUGGGAAAAAAUCUAGCCCAGUGCUUCUUUUUGUAUGAUCUUCAAGCUGAAAAUUAUUUUUACAUUUGUAAAUGAAAAUGGGGAGAAGAGAAUUUUUGGUAGUAAGUGAAAAAAGAAAUUCAGAUUUCAUUGUUCAUAAAGUUUCAUAGAAAUACCACCACAUUAAUUAAUUUGCAUAUUGUUCCUGUUUGCAUUUAUGUUGCAGUGGUGGCCUUGAGCAGGUGCCACCAAGACCCAGUGGCCCCCACAAAGGAUAAAACAUUUACUAUCCAGCUCAUUCCAGAAAAAACUUGGCAAUGCCUACUCAAAACGUGGUCCAAGGUAAUGGUUUGUCACUAAUGUGCAAUCAGAUCAACACAGAAAUUGAGAGGAAG
Molecule: long non-coding RNA, 1085 nt
Filed under: Heterocephalus glaber (naked mole-rat)
Lineage: Eukaryota; Metazoa; Chordata; Mammalia; Rodentia; Bathyergidae
Description: lncRNA (ENSHGLG00100042616.1)
Source: RNAcentral